Molecule: ribosomal RNA, 383 nt
Filed under: bacterium
Lineage: Bacteria
Description: bacterial SSU rRNA
Rfam family: Bacterial small subunit ribosomal RNA
Source: RNAcentral
GGGUCGUAAAGCUCUGUUGUUAGGGAAGAACAAGUACCAGAGUAACUGCUGGUACCUUGACGGUACCUAACCAGAAAGCCACGGCUAACUACGUGCCAGCAGCCGCGGUAAUACGUAGGUGGCAAGCGUUGUCCGGAAUUAUUGGGCGUAAAGCGCGCGCAGGCGGUCCUUUAAGUCUGAUGUGAAAGCCCACGGCUCAACCGUGGAGGGUCAUUGGAAACUGGGGGACUUGAGUACAGAAGAGGAAAGUGGAAUUCCACGUGUAGCGGUGAAAUGCGUAGAGAUGUGGAGGAACACCAGUGGCGAAGGCGACUUUCUGGUCUGUAACUGACGCUGAGGCGCGAAAGCGUGGGGAGCAAACAGGAUUAGAUACCCCCGGUAGU